UAGCGUUUCCCAUCAGCAUCAAAGUGGCACAUAUUCUCAACUACAGCAAUGCAAGGCACCUUAAGCUUGGAAAACAUGCGAACUCCUUUGGCAACAUCGAUAAAUGCUAGCUUUUGGGGGGUGGUCACAAUAACAGCAGCAGUUAACGGGACAACCUGGCAUAAAGUAAGCUGUAUGUCACCAGUUCCAGGUGGCAUGUCAAUUACAAGGUAAUCAAGC
This 219-nucleotide unclassified non-coding RNA is filed under the name Hevea brasiliensis (rubber tree). The record is from RNAcentral. Lineage: Eukaryota; Viridiplantae; Streptophyta; Magnoliopsida; Malpighiales; Euphorbiaceae.